UGGGGAAUUUUGGACAAUGGGCGCAAGCCUGAUCCAGCCAUGCCGCGUGCAGGAUGAAGGCCUUCGGGUUGUAAACUGCUUUUGUACGGAACGAAAAGACUCUGGUUAAUACCUGGGGUCCAUGACGGUACCGUAAGAAUGAGCACCGGCUAACUACGUGCCAGCAGCCGCGGUAAUACGUAGGGUGCGAGCGUUAAUCGGAAUUACUGGGCGUAAAGCGUGCGCAGGCGGUUUUGUAAGACAGUGGUGAAAUCCCCGGGCUCAACCUGGGAACUGCCAUUGUGACUGUAAAGCUAGAGUGCGGCAGAGGGGGAUGGAAUUCCGCGUGUAGCAGUGAAAUGCGUAGAUAUGCGGAGGAACACCGAUGGUGAAGGCAAUCCCCUGGGCCUGUACUGACGCUCAUGCACGAAAGCGUGGGGAGCAAACA
RNAcentral lists this ribosomal RNA (427 nucleotides) under uncultured bacterium. Its description in RNAcentral is "bacterial SSU rRNA". It matches the Rfam family "Bacterial small subunit ribosomal RNA", at positions 355 to 774 of the family's 1533-position model. The record is from RNAcentral.